Pantherophis guttatus is the source of this 743-nucleotide non-coding RNA. The record is from RefSeq and is a predicted model, not a curated record. Lineage: Eukaryota; Metazoa; Chordata; Lepidosauria; Squamata; Colubridae.
CCACACAUUUCUUAAUUACAGGUAGUCUUCGAGGUACGAAGGGCCAUUUAAUCACUGUUCGAAGUUACGAAUGCCCUCCCAAAAAUGGACUUAAGGCAUGGGUUCGAAACUGCAACCAAAAAGAAGCCUCUGGAAUCAUGUCACCUGGAUUCAGUCACUCCUGAAGCAGUGGCCAUUUUUAGUCCUAUGUCUGCCCUGGUCACCCACAGUUACAACAGGUGAUUUCUGAGGCCUAUAUGGUUGGCACAUUUUUUUUCUCUCCUGGUCACGUGAUCAACCAAGAUCUUUGCAGCAGGUGCUUACUUUUUUCCCCUCCUCACUGCUGCCAGAUAGAGGACUAAAGAGUGAAUUUCUCAUUGCUGCCCUUCUUGCUUCUUUCGUUGCUGUUGCCUUGAGGACUAGAGUACUAUAGUUGCCUUGGAGCAGCUAAGUGGCACUGGAUGUAAGAAUUAAAAACCUGAACAGCAUGCUGAGUGAAGAAGCCUUUGUGGAAAUGUUUAUCAUCUUGUACCAAGGAUUCAUAGUACUGAAACUGAGGUAUACUUUCACAGAAUUUUGACAAACGAUCCAAAGGAUAUAAUUUGGAGGAAGAAAAUUCCAGCUUAAGACCUGAUUGGCUAGUGCAAGGUAACGUUGAAAAACCGAAGACAUCUGAGCAUUAAGAUUUUCACGCCGGCUGAAUUCCUGUAGUACCUCUACGGUGAGCAUAAAGAUCUGACGGAGAUCGUCCUCCUGUGCAGAAU